UACGUAUGGGGCAAGCGUUAUCCGGAUUUACUGGGUGUAAAGGGAGCGUAGGCGGCCUGGCAAGCCUGAUGUGAAAUACCGGGGCCCAACCCCGGGGCUGCAUUGGGAACUGCCAGGCUGGAGUGCCGGAGAGGCAGGCGGAAUUCCUAGUGUAGCGGUGAAAUGCGUAGAUAUUAGGAGGAACACCAGUGGCGAAGGCGGCCUGCUGGACGGUGACUGACGCUGAGGCACGAAAGCGUGGGGAGCAAACAGG
RNAcentral lists this ribosomal RNA (253 nucleotides) under uncultured bacterium. RNAcentral describes it as "partial 16S ribosomal RNA". It matches the Rfam family "Bacterial small subunit ribosomal RNA", at positions 524 to 776 of the family's 1533-position model. The record is from RNAcentral.